AAAGGAAUUGACGGGGGCCCGCACAAGCAGUGGAGUAUGUGGUUUAAUUCGAAGCAACGCGAAGAACCUUACCAGGGCUUGACAUCCCUCUGACAGCACUAGAGAUAGUGCUUCUCUUCGGAGCAGAGGAGACAGGUGGUGCAUGGUUGUCGUCAGCUCGUGUCGUGAGAUGUUGGGUUAAGUCCCGCAACGAGCGCAACCCCUGUUGUUAGUUGCCAUCAUUAAGUUGGGCACUCUAACGAGACUGCCGGUGAUAAAUCGGAGGAAGGUGGGGACGACGUCAAAUCAUCAUGCCCCUUAUGUCCUGGGCUACACACGUACUACAAUGGCGAUAACAGAGGGAAGCAAGACCGCGAGGUGGAGCAAAACCCCAAAAGUCGCCCCAGUUCAGAUUGCAGGCUGCAACUCGCCUGCAUGAAGUCGGAAUUGCUAGUAAUGGCAGGUCAGCAUACUGCCGUGAAUACGUUCCCGGGCCUUGCACACACCGCCCGU
This 492-nucleotide ribosomal RNA is filed under the name uncultured bacterium. Its description in RNAcentral is "bacterial SSU rRNA". It matches the Rfam family "Bacterial small subunit ribosomal RNA", at positions 903 to 1397 of the family's 1533-position model. The record is from RNAcentral.